This 777-nucleotide ribosomal RNA is filed under the name uncultured Neocallimastigales. RNAcentral's name for it is "partial large subunit ribosomal RNA". It matches the Rfam family "Eukaryotic large subunit ribosomal RNA", at positions 23 to 626 of the family's 3401-position model. Lineage: Eukaryota; Fungi; Neocallimastigomycota; Neocallimastigomycetes; Neocallimastigales. The record is from RNAcentral.
AGAGAGAGACAUGCGCGCAUAUCAAUAAGCGGAGGAAAAGAAACUAACAAGGAUUCCCUUAGUAACGGCGAGUGAAGCGGGAAGAGCUCAAAUUUGAAAUCUUCUAAGGUUUUACCUUGACGAAUUGUAGUUUAAAGAAGUGUUUUCUGCUGAAGUUUUGGUAAAAGUUCUUUGGAAUAGGACAUCAUAGAGGGUGAGAAUCCCGUAUUUGACCAUUAUUUUCAGCUUUGUGAUACACUUUCAAAGAGUCGGAUUGUUUGGGAAUGCAGUCCAAAAUGGGUGGUAAAUUUCAUCUAAAGCUAAAUAUUGGCGAGAGACCGAUAGCGAACAAGUACCGUGAGGGAAAGAUGAAAAGAACUUUGAAAAGAGAGUUAAACAGUACGUGAAAUUGUCAAAAGGGAAGCGUUUGACACCAGUGUUGUUUUCUCGAAAAUCAAUUAAAAAUGGCUCGAUUUUGUAUUGCUUGAGACCUUAAAAGCUCACUGUACAUUUUUCGUGUCUUUUUUAAUGCACUUUUCGUUUAACAAGUCAACAUCAGUUUCUUUUGUUGUAAAAGGGUCAUUGGAAGGUGGCUUUCUUUUCGGAGAAAGUGUUUAUAGCCUUUGGCCUCUGCAAUCGGAAGAGACUGAGGUCUGCAGCGUAGACUCUUCGGGGUUAGAUACAUUUGUGCUAAGUUAUAGCUUUUUAUAGACAACUUGUUGACUAUAAUUAGUCUUGUAGCUUACUCGCUUGUGCUAUUUUACCUACGCUUAGGAUGUUGAGUCGUAGAGCACGCAG